RNAcentral lists this non-coding RNA (19 nucleotides) under Drosophila melanogaster (fruit fly). The record is from RNAcentral. Lineage: Eukaryota; Metazoa; Arthropoda; Insecta; Diptera; Drosophilidae.
UUUAAUGGUGAAAUGCUUG